RNAcentral lists this ribosomal RNA (880 nucleotides) under uncultured Cyanobium sp. Its description in RNAcentral is "bacterial SSU rRNA". It matches the Rfam family "Bacterial small subunit ribosomal RNA", at positions 622 to 1501 of the family's 1533-position model. The record is from RNAcentral. Lineage: Bacteria; Bacillati; Cyanobacteriota; Cyanophyceae; Synechococcales; Prochlorococcaceae.
GGCAGUGGAAACUGAUGGGCUUGAGUGUGGUAGGGGCAGAGGGAAUUCCCGGUGUAGCGGUGAAAUGCGUAGAUAUCGGGAAGAACACCAGUGGCGAAGGCGCUCUGCUGGGCCAUAACUGACGCUCAUGGACGAAAGCCAGGGGAGCGAAAGGGAUUAGAUACCCCUGUAGUCCUGGCCGUAAACGAUGAACACUAGGUGUCGGGGGAAUCGACCCCCUCGGUGUCGUAGCUAACGCGUUAAGUGUUCCGCCUGGGGAGUACGCACGCAAGUGUGAAACUCAAAGGAAUUGACGGGGGCCCGCACAAGCGGUGGAGUAUGUGGUUUAAUUCGAUGCAACGCGAAGAACCUUACCAGGGUUUGACAUCCUGCGAACCUUUAAGAAAUUAGAGGGUGCCUUCGGGAACGCAGUGACAGGUGGUGCAUGGCUGUCGUCAGCUCGUGUCGUGAGAUGUUGGGUUAAGUCCCGCAACGAGCGCAACCCACGUUUUUAGUUGCCAGCAUUCAGUUGGGCACUCUAGAAAGACCGCCGGUGAUAAACCGGAGGAAGGUGUGGAUGACGUCAAGUCAUCAUGCCCCUUACAUCCUGGGCUACACACGUACUACAAUGCUGCGGACAAAGGGCAGCAAGCUCGCGAGAGCAAGCAAAUCCCAUAAACCGUGGCUCAGUUCAGAUCGUAGGCUGCAACUCGCCUACGUGAAGUAGGAAUCGCUAGUAAUCGCAGGUCAACAUACUGCGGUGAAUACGUUCCCGGGCCUUGUACACACCGCCCGUCACAUCAUGGAAGUUGGCCAUGCCCGAAGUCGUUACUCCAACCCUUGUGGAGGAGGACGCCGAAGGUGGGGCUAAUGACUGGGGUGAAGUCGUAACAAGGUAACC